This 7177-nucleotide long non-coding RNA is filed under the name Sorghum bicolor (sorghum). RNAcentral's name for it is "long non-coding RNA (SBIC_LNC008280)". Lineage: Eukaryota; Viridiplantae; Streptophyta; Magnoliopsida; Poales; Poaceae. The record is from RNAcentral.
CCCAAGGAUAACUAUAUAAUUGUUUUUGGUGGGAAGAGAGGAAGUUUCCUGAGAGUUCUCUAGUUGAUCUAAGAAUCAAGAAUUACUUCAAGAUUAUCUAUUUCGGGACAUCAGAACACUAACCACAAAAAGAGAUGAGAAGGGGGCUAGGAAGCUCCGACUACGGUCCUACAAACACCGAUCCGAACGAGGUGGAAUACGUCGAUCGUUAGGGCUGUCACUACCCUAAGGCUACCACAACAAUCUGCAGGAUUGGGUGCAAUUCCAGGUGAUCGCAAGACUAAACACCACGUCUAAUCUAUUAAUUACUACUCUAGCGUUAUAAAGACUAGAGCACUUGAUGCAAGCGGGAAUCCAAUAAAUAACUUGAAUGUAAAUAAAAGUAAUUAGAGAACUCAGGAAUUAUGAUUUGAAGAACGAACCAGAUGCUGUAAAAGUAUAAUGUUGAGGAAGAUCCGAUAGAUCCGGCUCCUCCUCCGCUCUCCUCUUCUCUCUCCCUAUUUUCUAGAUUACAACUAGAACUAACUAGAACUAGAACUAGAGGAAUUAGAACUAGAACUAGAUGAACUAGAACUAGAACUAGAUGAACUAGAGGUAGAACUAGAAGAACUAGAGGGAUCCUCUCUACUUGGAUGAAGAAUUGAAACCCUAACUUUGAUUCUGUAGAAGAGGUAUGAUCUACAGGGGCUAGGGGGGGUCUGGUUUUAUAGUCCCUUCAUUUGAAUCUGGGCCGUCGGAUCAAACCGACAUUGAUCGCACGGUUUUCCUUGAUCCCUUAGGUCGGUGGAGCGUUGUCCGCGAAACGUGUCUGAAUUGGUCUCUGGAAGUGGGCGGGCGCCCAAGGGACUAGGGCGGGCGCCCUGUGCCUGAGCCCUCUCGGCCUCCGCUUCGUUCCCGUGGCUUCUGCAGUCUUCUAGAUGGUAGAUAAUUGUGCGGCACGUUAAUAUCUCUAUGUAAACCCGACGCGUGGGCCUUUCUUCCGUAUUUCCUGAUAACCCCCUACAGAAAUAGACAAACACCAAAACUUGUGGAAUUCUGUCAGAUAAAACCCUAAGUCUAGGUGUUGGUUGCAUUUGGAUCCUUUUCUAUGAUUAGUUGAUGGUUAAAUAUGAGCAUUAAGGACCGUCAACAAGCUCCCCCAAGCUUAACCUUUGCUCGUCCCUGAGCAAAGAUGGACUCAAGAGUUUCUGUAGUGGUUUCAUAACUUAAAGAUACACAUGCGUUUAAACAAGAUCUCAUCUCUGGUUAGAGUAAACUGUUAAGACUUAAAACUUACUCAUUUACCUUUCACCAUGGGACUUGUAACAGUCACUUCUGUCUUGAGUAGUUAAAAGAUAGAACAGUCUAGUCAAGCACCAUGUCUCUUGUUCUUCGAUUAACUAUAGCUCUGGAGUUUUUGCAGAUUUUCAAAUAAAACUCAAAGAUUCCUUGUAUGACUCUCUCUAGUCUCUCUUUUGUGGUAUUUCUGGAUCGUUACCAAGGCAGUAAUGGUAUAUGCCUUCUCUCAAAGUAUGUGGUAUUUGUGGUAUAAGGCAUAGUGGCAUUGCCUUCUCUCUCACCGUACUCUUAUAAGGUUUUGAUAUAUGGAGCUCAUAGGUGGGAGACAGCUAAUACAUACUUACAAGACAUUUAUUGCAUAGUCAAACCAUGGAUCCAGUAGAACAAGUCAAUAAGUCAAAUCAAGAUGUGCAUGUGUGGCGAAUGAAUGGUGUAUGGUAAUGAUGGUGAUAACAAUAGUGAAAGUCUAAUUCUACUUAUGCUCUUUUGAGGGGAUACGUACCUUUCUUGCUCUUUUGAAACUUUUUUGAGGAAUGAGAUGCUCUAUAUUUUAUCUUUUUCUUUUCUCUCAGAUGGGUAUCUUGUACCCCUAAUUUUACUGUCGGACACUUGUCCAUUUUUACCUCUCGUCUCACUUUUUCUUUUAUUUCGAGGUUCCGGGCACUUGCCCCUUUUUAUUUCCUCGCAUUCUUUCUUUUUUUCUUUCUUUUUUUAGAGCACUCAUCUCCUGAAAUAAUAUAGCAAGUGGUAGUAACCAAGAUAACUUGAGCAUUUUUUUUCACAGGGAAAACAGAAAUAGGAGAAUGUUUUUGGCUAUUCUCUCCUGGAUUAGGAGUAGAAUAUUUUUGGGUGGUUCUGGAGAUGGAAAUGGAUGGAUAUAUGUGGAUGGUACUUCUGGAGUAGAAGUAGCAUGUGUGAGUGAACGUGCAAGUGAAUCUUGAUUUAACCACAUGACAAGCUCCUAAGGGUCUACACAGCUUGACCACACUCAAUGCUCAUAAGUAGUAAAAAGUAAAUGAAUGGUUCAUAGUCUAAUAAGCAUGUAUAUAUGGCUGUGGUAGGAAUUUAAACUCUCAUCAUACAGGAACUCAUCAUGCAACAUUUUAAAGAUUUUUCAAAGAUAAAUUUCUCCAGAAUGCUAGCAUCUCUAGGAACAGAUAAACUGCAGCUCAACCUUCCCAUAUCAUAUCCGUUAACGACUUAGACUUUUGAUCAAGUACUCUUCCCACAAGUUCAGGUUUAGAGCAAAUCUUAAUUAAUAACAGUCAUGUCUAAACUUGAGAGAGAUUUCAAUUUUGAGAACUAGUCAUGGCAGAGCAACUAUUCAUCAUUUCCAUGUGAGAGCUUAUCACGAGGUUUAUUGCAAACUUUGUUUAUUUAUUUAUUUAGCAAACAAAGCAAAGAUAUAUAUGUAAGCACAAAAUCAUUAUUUGGGUUUAUAUGAUUAUGCAUCUUUUUAUUAUUAGAGUAAAGUAUAAAUAUGAGUAGAAUACUUAGCUGGAUAAAUGGGAGUGCUCUCCCCCAAGCUGGAUUUUGACGUAAUCUCUUCUGAUGUAGCUAGCAGGUGGCGGAGGUAUGUCGGCAGCACCCUGACAGCGAUUAGGAUGUCCAUCGUCUGCUAGUCUUCUUUGAUCCUUGAAUUCUGUGGAGCUCAAAUAAACAACAAAGCUUUGUGGAACUAGUUAAGUGUUAGCAUAAGUAUCUAGCCUUUAUCAUGUUGAGCUUCCUCAAUAAAUGUUACUCAUUAGUAGGAUCAUAAAUUUAUUUUUAUAUUUUUAUUUUUAUAGGACAGGAAUAUAUUUAUUUCAUUUUUACGCCACCACAAUGAAUGUACUUAUGGGUUUUAUGCCAUGAGCAUACUCACAUGGGGCUUAAUAUUUUUAACAUUUUUAUUUUCGUUUCAAGAUGAUAUGAACCUGAUUAACUAAGCAAACUAUUUUAAAUAAUUGAAAGGAAAAAGAUAACUACCAAGUUUACCUCUUGGCAAGGCGUUCGGUGUUUUUAAGUCCUCCGAACGGGACUCUCCAUUUUCUCAGUCGUCCUGGGAUUCGCUGGAUGGCGUAGUCGGUGGUUCCGGUGGAGCCUGCUCUUCAUGUAUAACUAUCUUUUUUCUCCACACGUGACUCGAUGCUACGGUCUCCUCAGGACAGUUCUAUUCAAGUUGUAUGUCUUCGGACCUUACAACUUCUCCUUCAUAGUCUACCCAUCCGUCCUUGAUGAUUUGCCUCCUGUGGUUGCGGUUGCGUCGUCGUCUUCUUGUCCUGACCUGCUUAGAGUCUUCAACUAUAUAGUUAGGGUCAGUAAAACAGCGGUGUACCUUCUCAGAGGUGAAGUGCAUGUGGACUUCUCUAGUUCCAAUGUAGAUGAUUGUUUUAACGUGCUGAGGAACGGUCUUCCAAUGAUGACGGGUAGAUCGAAUUUGUCUUCUCUCAUGUCAAUAACCUUAAAAUCAUCUGGAGCUGAAUGUAUGUUGGUUGUAGGGACAUGGUUCCAUGCAGGAGCUGAUAAGUGACUGCGGCCAUUAUGUUGAUGUUAGAUCCGGUGUCGUAGAGUGUCUUCUGAAAAGAAUAUCCGUUGAUUGUGCACUCGAUGCUUGGAACACCAGGGUCGUCCUUCUUGAUCAAGAAAGGUGACUUGAGUUGACGAUCUUGACCUCCUUGAGCUGCAGUGACCAUCUGAGCUGACUCGGUACACAUUUGCUUGUUCCUGUUCCUCCUGUUGGUCCUCUUCCUUGGUUCAUGUUGGGAUUGCUCUGGGAUUUGUGUAGUCUUGUUCUUGAAGGAAAACGCCUCCUUCCUUCCCUUGAUGUAGAAACUGAUCUUGGCAGCACUAGCGUAGAUGAUAGCUCCCGAGGUCUUCAGGAAUGGCCUCCCUAGGAUGAUGGGUGCCCUCUCAUCACUACCAGUCUCUAUCACCAUGAAGUCUGCUGGGUCGUACAAGGUACCAACUCGGACGCAGAGGUUCUUCAAUAUUCCCUUUGGGAAACUUAGCGUACGAUCUGCAAGCUGCAAACACUUGGCUGUUUCUAAUAAAGGAUGUGUAAAGAAUUUUUCAUAGAGUACCCUGGGCAUAAUGUUGACGCUAGAGCCAAAGUCGCAGAGUGCUUCUGGGAAGUUCACCAUGCUGAUGGAGAUCGGGAUGACGGUGCGUCCUGGAUCGCCUCUCUUGACCGGCAGAAGGUCAGUAAUUACUUCCAUAAUGGGGUUACUCCAGUAGUUACAUCCUCAAGCAUUUUAGGGCAGUGAUUGCCUGAGUGUCCAGUAUCUCCAGUGUGUUUGUGCUCGUAGAUCUAGGUUCUUCACUUUGGUGGAGUCUGGGAGUUGUAAAACUCCUUCAUAUUUUGCUCAAAGUGUACCUACUCAUAGAGACAAGGCAGAGAUCAAGUGCAUGGGCCCUGUUGGUGGAAAACACCAACAGAACCAAAAGCGUAUUUGCUCUUCUCUAUCCUUAAGCAUAGUGAGCAAGACACAAUUGAUGGAUAAUAAGAUCAUGAGUGUAGCAUUUAAAACAUUCGUCAGAUCAGAUCACUCAACCUAAUGGAAAGAUAAUCUAUCUAUAGUUAUGUUGUUUUUUAUAUAAUAUAUAUCUUCCAAAGAUUGAGUGUGCAACAUUUUUAGUUCAUAUGAUUAGGAGUGUGGGAUCAUAAAGGUGGAAGGACUAAACAUAUUGAAUCGACCGGGUUGGUUAAUCUAGAGUUGUAAAUCUUACAUGUUUGUCUCUUUUACUCAUGUGAAUGCCAGAAAUAAGGAGAAGCUUAUAGAAGUGAUAGUCAAGUACUUUAAGAUGUUACCUUACUUGAAGAGUGAUGGUACAGUAUCACCUUGUGGAAGCUUUCCUUUCUUAGCAGUUGUGCAUCGUGUUUGUGGCACCCUCCAUGGAUCAUCUCUUGUGAGCUAUGCUUUCCUUGUGUGAAUUGUUAAACUUCAUGUGUGUCUCUCUUUGUCUCCAAUGUGAGUUUAUCUCAGGACUUCCCAGGUCGAUAUUGAAAGUUUUCCUGCAGGGGUUAGUCCAACAAAAUAUACCAAUGUCUACACAAGCAGUUUUUAGUUCAAUAACCAAACUAGACUCCAUGUCUAAUUAGAUUAAGGAAGGCUGUUUAACCUAAGAACCAUGCUUAAUUUAAAAACCAAUAGAAGUAUGUACAGUACUUCCAAACUAACACUUACUAGGAUAAACAAAGGUAGCGUGAUGGCUUUUAUAGAGAUCUACUCAAGUGGAGAUGAAGUAGUGUGAUUACUAUUUAACAAAUUGAGCAUGUCUCAAAGGUAGGGACAACCAACAUAGCAACAUGGCAAAUGAUGUUUUUAUAUAAAGUACUCCCCCAAGCUUGAAUUUUGCAAAAUUCAAGUUUGGAUGAAUUUAAUUCAAUGUUGUAUGAUGAUUGGUUGUACAUACCUUGUGCUUGUCUUUCAUCUGAUCUUCUUGCUCCAAUCCUGGAAACGUUAGUGACAAGAAUACCCGAAGGAAAUUUUUUACAAUUAUCCUUAUAUGCUCAGUACACAAGGUAAUGUUGCAAAUAAUUAAAAGCUCAUGUUACGAUCUGAUCAGUGCUUGUUUUAGGACACUAAGCUUGUCCUUGGGAAACCCUCAAUUUAUGUCAGUGAAGUGGUUUCCCCUCCAACACUGACCUAUAUCAAGAUCAACUCAAGGAGAUCUGCAAAAUUUAUUAUAGACAUAUGCAUCGACAACCGCCCUUUUAAAGUUUUUAUAAAUAGAAAGGAAGUGGGGGUUGGAGAUCUCGAAUGUGGUGAUGUUGGAGAGACCAAUGGAUUGUGAAGAUGUUGCAUAUGAGCAUGGAGUAAGUGAAGUGGCUAUGAAAUAAAUUCCAUGCUCAUUAAUGCUUAGAGUGAAAUCCAUGUGGUGUGGUGAAGGUGAUAAGGUGAGUGUGGUAAAAAAAGAAAAGAAAAAGGAUACACGGACGACUUGGUUCGAAACUAGCACAGCUACCGUUCUCCGGCAACGGCGCUAGAAAGCUUGUUGGGUAUUUUAAACGCAAACAGAAAAAUCCGCAAGCGCACGGAUACCGAUGUAGCCUUCACCCGGGAGUAUUCCAGAGUAUCGAUUUUCCACAGGGAACGUGAGUGUACUAAUUAAGAAUCAAGAUCGCCCAAGGAUAACUAUAUAAUUGUUUUUGGUGGGAAGAGAGGAAGUUUCCUGAGAGUUCUCUAGUUGAUCUAAGAAUCAAGAAUUACUUCAAGAUUAUCUAUUUCGGGACAUCAGAACACUAACCACAGAAAGAGAUGAGAAGGGGGCUAGGAAGCUCCGACUACGGUCCUACAAACACCGAUCCGAACGAGGUGGAAUACGUCGACCAUUAGGGCUGUCACUACCCUAAGGCUACCACAACAAUCCGCAGGAUUGGGUGCAAUUCCAGGUAAUCGCAAGACUAAACACCACGUCUAAUCUAUUAAUUACUACUCUAGCGUUAUAAAGACUAGAGCACUUGAUGCAAGCGGGAAUCCAAUAAAUAACUUGAAUGUAAAUAAAAGUAAUUAGAGAACUCAGGAAUUAUGAUUUGAAGAACCUGGAGAACGAUGAAGAAUGAACCAGAUGCUGCAAAAGUAUAAUGUUGAGGAAGAUCCGACAGAUCCGGCUCCUCCUCCGCUCUCCUCUUCUCUCUCCCUAUUUUCUAGAUUACAACUAGAACUAACUAGAACUAGAACUAGAACUAGAUGAACUAGAGGUAGAACUAGAAGAACUAGAGGGAUCCUCUCUACUUGGAUGAAGAAUUAAAACCCUAACUUUGAUUCUGUAGAAGAGGUAUGAUCUCCAGGGGCUAGGGGGGUCUGGUUUUAUAGUCCCUUCAAGUGAAUCUGGGCCGUCGGAUCAAACCGACAUUGAUCGCAUGGUUUUCCUUGAUCCCUUAGGUCGGUGGAGCGUUGUCCGCGAAACGUGUCUG